Molecule: ribosomal RNA, 324 nt
Filed under: uncultured bacterium
Lineage: Bacteria
Description: bacterial SSU rRNA
Rfam family: Bacterial small subunit ribosomal RNA
Source: RNAcentral
GAUGAACGCUGGCGGCGUGCCUAACACAUGCAAGUCGAGCGAAGCGAUUUAACGGAAGUUUUCGGAUGGAAGUUAAAUUGACUGAGCGGCGGACGGGUGAGUAACGCGUGGGUAACCUGCCUCAUACAGGGGGAUAACAGUUAGAAAUGACUGCUAAUACCGCAUAAGCGCACAGCAUCGCAUGAUGCAGUGUGAAAAACUCCGGUGGUAUGAGAUGGACCCGCGUCUGAUUAGCUAGUUGGUAAGGUAACGGCUUACCAAGGCAAUGAUGCAUAGCCGAGUUGAGAGACUGAUCGGCCACAUUGGGACUGAGACACGGCCCAA